UAUCAUCAUUACAAUCAUUUUCGUCGGUGAAUCUAGAACGGAGAUAGUCAAACAUUUCGAUUUGUGUACUACAAUCAAACUCAUUUCACUUUCCCCUAAGCAGAUUAGUUUAACGGGUCACAGUAACUAUUAAAAUUACACCCGCAACGUAGAGGAAGAAGAGGCGUAGGGGUGGUGGAGGAGGAGAGUACUGUUGAUACCCAAAUUAUUGGGCUCUAGCCCAAUACUCAGGCUCAUCACAAUUGGAACAUGCGGAUUGAAGGUGCGCGAUUGCGAGGACAAAGCAGAACAACCUGGACCCAGUGGCCUAGACUCAGUUAGAUGCAUGAUAAUUUAGUAUCAAGUAUUUAUUAGACGAAUCUCUAUUACAGGUGUAUAAAACCAAGGAGACCCUAUUCCGGCGAUAAAGAACCACAGGGAAGGAUCGCUGGCCGGAGGGGAGGAAUUGGGGAAAAAGAGAAGAUUAACGAAAAUAACGGAUCUUUGAAUUGGAAAAAUAUCAAAGAUGUAAUUGAAUUAAUUUUUAUUUGAGUUUACAACUGUUAUUUAUAAUAUUUGUAAACUACGAAUUACAUUACAACCCUGAACCUAUUUUUAUUACAACCGGGUCCAUUUUAUGAUUUAAUUAUAAAAUCUUCUUUUGGACCGGUCCAUUUAGAUUUAACUUCUUCUGGGCUGUAACCUGUGAUUAAACUUAACAAACACACCAAAU
RNAcentral lists this long non-coding RNA (712 nucleotides) under Zostera marina. RNAcentral's name for it is "long non-coding RNA (ZMAR_LNC004348)". The record is from RNAcentral. Lineage: Eukaryota; Viridiplantae; Streptophyta; Magnoliopsida; Alismatales; Zosteraceae.